Molecule: small nuclear RNA, 130 nt
Filed under: Gorilla gorilla gorilla (western lowland gorilla)
Lineage: Eukaryota; Metazoa; Chordata; Mammalia; Primates; Hominidae
Description: U4 spliceosomal RNA
Rfam family: U4 spliceosomal RNA
About the family: U4 small nuclear RNA (U4 snRNA) is a component of the major U2-dependent spliceosome.
Source: Rfam by way of RNAcentral
AGCUUUGUGCAGUGGCAGUAUCGUAGCCAGUGAGAUUUAUCGGAGGCGUGAUCACUGCUAAUUGAAAACUUUUCUAUAAAGGAACUGGUCUGUAGUUAAAAAAAAAAAAAAAAUCAAUGUCACAAAGGAC